This 428-nucleotide long non-coding RNA is filed under the name Androctonus crassicauda. Lineage: Eukaryota; Metazoa; Arthropoda; Arachnida; Scorpiones; Buthidae. The record is from RNAcentral.
UAAUAAUACAGAUUUUGAAACUGCUACAAAUAAUGUAUGAUCAUCUAAUACUUCCACCAUUUGGUUUUAAGGCUAAACCAUAAUUAUAUAACAGCUAUCCUGAUUAGUUGGGCUUCGGUUACUUAAGAGACGAUUUGAUUGGCUAUGAAUAGUCGGUUGUUGCGGUAUGUGAAUGUUACAGCCGACAGUCGGACAAGUCGUUCACGAUUACAAGUCGGGUCCGAUUCUCGAGUCGGGCGCAGUGUGAAUCCACCCUUAGCCGCGUGGAAACGCUUCGGUUUCCACUCCGGAGGAUUCGGGUUCGAGUCUCGUAUCUCACUAUUUGAAAUUUUUAUCAUGGGGUAUGGACUAGCCAUCAAUCCCCGUUCUCCACAAUCCGGCUGAGCUCUCCGCAAGGGUGGACAGUCAGUGGAAGGGUUUGUUUAACC